CCUACGGGAGGCAGCAGUGGGGAAUAUUGCACAAUGGGGGAAACCCUGAUGCAGCGAAGCCGCGUGAGUGAAGCAGUAUUUCGGUAUGUAAAGCUCUAUCAGCAGGGAAGAAAUAGCGACCUUUGGGUCGCCAGACGGUACCUGAUUAAGAAGCCCCGGCUAACUACGUGCCAGCAGCCGCGGUAAUACGUAGGGGGCAAGCGUUAUCCGGAUUUACUGGGUGUAAAGGGAGCGUAGACGGCAGCACAAGUCUGAAGUGAAAUGCCGGGGCUUAACCCCGGAACUGCUUUGGAAACUGUGGAGCUAGAGUGCAGGAGAGGGAAGUGGAAUUCCUAGUGGAGCGGUGAAAUGCGUAGAUAUUAGGAGGAACACCAGUGGCGAAGGCGGCUUACUGGACUGUAACUGACGUUGAGGCUCGAAAGCGUGGGGAGCAAACAGGAUUAGAUACCCCAGUAGUC
Molecule: ribosomal RNA, 458 nt
Filed under: uncultured bacterium
Lineage: Bacteria
Description: partial 16S ribosomal RNA
Rfam family: Bacterial small subunit ribosomal RNA
Source: RNAcentral